UACGUAGGGGGCGAGCGUUGUCCGGAAUCAUUGGGCGUAAAGCGCGUGUAGGCGGUCCGGUAAGUCCGCUGUGAAAGUCGGGGGCUCAACCCUCGGAUGCCGGUGGAUACUGUCGGGCUCGAGUACGGAAGAGGCGAGUGGAAUUCCUGGUGUAGCGGUGAAAUGCGCAGAUAUCAGGAGGAACACCAAUUGCGAAGGCAGCUCGCUGGGACGUUACUGACGCUGAGAUGCGAAAGCGUGGGGAGCAAACAGG
Molecule: ribosomal RNA, 253 nt
Filed under: uncultured bacterium
Lineage: Bacteria
Description: partial 16S ribosomal RNA
Rfam family: Bacterial small subunit ribosomal RNA
Source: RNAcentral